UUAGAAUUGACGGGGGCCCGCACAAGCGGUGAGCAUGUGGUUAAUUCGACGCAACGCGCAGAACCUUACCUGGUCCUGACAUCCCGGGAAUUUCCUUGAAAGAGGGAAGUGCCUCGCAAGAGGAGCCUGGAGACAGGUGCUGCAUGGCUGUCGUCAGUUCGUGUCGUGAGAUGUUGGGUUAAGUCCCGCAACGAGCGCAACCCUUGUCUUUAGUUGCCAUCAUUCAGUUGGGCACUCUAAAGAGACUGCCGGUGUCAAACCGGAGGAAGUGGGGAUGACGUCAAGUCCUCAUGGCCUUUAUGGCCAGGGCUACACACGUACUACAAUGGCCGGUACAAAGGGCAGCCACUUAGCGAUAAGGAGCCAAUCCCGUAAAGCCGGUCUCAGUCCGGAUUGGAGUCUGCAACUCGACUCCAUGAAGUUGGAAUCGCUAGUAAUCGCAGAUCAGCACGCUGCGGUGAAUACGUUCCCGGGCCUU
RNAcentral lists this ribosomal RNA (478 nucleotides) under uncultured Desulfocapsa sp. RNAcentral's name for it is "bacterial SSU rRNA". It matches the Rfam family "Bacterial small subunit ribosomal RNA", at positions 907 to 1382 of the family's 1533-position model. The record is from RNAcentral. Lineage: Bacteria; Pseudomonadati; Thermodesulfobacteriota; Desulfobulbia; Desulfobulbales; Desulfocapsaceae.